RNAcentral lists this ribosomal RNA (759 nucleotides) under Escherichia coli. RNAcentral's name for it is "partial 23S ribosomal RNA". It matches the Rfam family "Bacterial large subunit ribosomal RNA", at positions 127 to 930 of the family's 2925-position model. Lineage: Bacteria; Pseudomonadati; Pseudomonadota; Gammaproteobacteria; Enterobacterales; Enterobacteriaceae. The record is from RNAcentral.
CCCAGUGUGUUUCGACACACUAUCAUUAACUGAAUCCAUAGGUUAAUGAGGCGAACCGGGGGAACUGAAACAUCUAAGUACCCCGAGGAAAAGAAAUCAACCGAGAUUCCCCCAGUAGCGGCGAGCGAACGGGGAGGAGCCCAGAGCCUGAAUCAGUGUGUGUGUUAGUGGAAGCGUCUGGAAAGGCGCGCGAUACAGGGUGACAGCCCCGUACACAAAAAUGCACAUAUUGUGAGCUCGAUGAGUAGGGCGGGACACGUGGUAUCCUGUCUGAAUAUGGGGGGACCAUCCUCCAAGGCUAAAUACUCCUGACUGACCGAUAGUGAACCAGUACCGUGAGGGAAAGGCGAAAAGAACCCCGGCGAGGGGAGUGAAAAAGAACCUGAAACCGUGUACGUACAAGCAGUGGGAGCCUCUUUAUGGGGUGACUGCGUACCUUUUGUAUAAUGGGUCAGCGACUUAUAUUCUGUAGCAAGGUUAACCGAAUAGGGGAGCCGAAGGGAAACCGAGUCUUAACUGGGCGUUAAGUUGCAGGGUAUAGACCCGAAACCCGGUGAUCUAGCCAUGGGCAGGUUGAAGGUUGGGUAACACUAACUGGAGGACCGAACCGACUAAUGUUGAAAAAUUAGCGGAUGACUUGUGGCUGGGGGUGAAAGGCCAAUCAAACCGGGAGAUAGCUGGUUCUCCCCGAAAGCUAUUUAGGUAGCGCCUCGUGAAUUCAUCUCCGGGGGUAGAGCACUGUUUCGGCAAGGGGGUCAU